CGCCUCUUGUAAAAUACAUGGUACCUAGCCUGACCAUCGACUUCAUUGUUUCGGCCCAGGUACCCUGCCGUGCGAAGGUCAGAUAAUUAUCUUGUUCUUUAAAUAAGAACUAGUAUCUACGGCAUCACGAGGGUUACACUGUCUCCUCCUCCAAUCAGUGAAACUGAUCUCCCCGUGAAGAAGCGGGGAUAAAAAUAUAAGACGAGAAGACCCCAUGGAGCUUUAAACCCAACAACAACCUCUAUGCACAUCCCCCUGAUAAAUGCAGAGGCACUGUCUGUUGGUUUUAGGUUGGGGUGACCGCGGAGUAAAACUUAGCCUCCACGAUGAACGGGAUUAACCCCUAAUCCAAGAGCCACCGCUCUAAGAAUCAACAAAUUUGACGUAAAUGAUCCGACAAUCGAUCAACGAACCAAGUUACCCUGGGGAUAACAGCGCAAUCCAUUUCAAGAGCUCCUAUCGACAAAUGGGUUUACGACCUCGAUGUUGGAUCAGGGUAUCCAGUGGUGCAGCAGCUACUAAAGGUUUGUUUGUUCAACAAUUAAAACCCU
Molecule: ribosomal RNA, 551 nt
Filed under: Quasipaa boulengeri (spiny-bellied frog)
Lineage: Eukaryota; Metazoa; Chordata; Amphibia; Anura; Dicroglossidae
Description: partial 16S ribosomal RNA
Rfam family: Bacterial large subunit ribosomal RNA
Source: RNAcentral